CCUACGGGAGGCAGCAGUGAGGAAUAUUGGUCAAUGGACGAGAGUCUGAACCAGCCAAGUAGCGUGAAGGAUGACUGCCCUACGGGUUGUAAACUUCUUUUAUAUGGGAAUAAAAUGUUCCACGUGUGGGAUUUUGUAUGUACCAUAUGAAUAAGGAUCGGCUAACUCCGUGCCAGCAGCCGCGGUAAUACGGAGGAUCCGAGCGUUAUCCGGAUUUAUUGGGUUUAAAGGGAGCGUAGAUGGAUUGUUAAGUCAGUUGUGAAAGUUUGCGGCUCAACCGUAAAAUUGCAGUUGAUACUGGCAGUCUUGAGUACAGUAGAGGUAGGCGGAAUUCGUGGUGUAGCGGUGAAAUGCUUAGAUAUCACGAAGAACUCCGAUUGCGAAGGCAGUUCACUAGACUGCAACUGACACUGAGGCUCGAAAGUGUGGGUAUCAAACAGGAUUAGAUACCCGAGUAGUC
RNAcentral lists this ribosomal RNA (460 nucleotides) under uncultured bacterium. Its description in RNAcentral is "partial 16S ribosomal RNA". It matches the Rfam family "Bacterial small subunit ribosomal RNA", at positions 338 to 795 of the family's 1533-position model. The record is from RNAcentral.